Molecule: transfer RNA, 73 nt
Filed under: Caudoviricetes sp.
Lineage: Duplodnaviria; Heunggongvirae; Uroviricota; Caudoviricetes
Description: tRNA-Phe
Rfam family: tRNA
About the family: Transfer RNA (tRNA) molecules are approximately 80 nucleotides in length. Their secondary structure includes four short double-helical elements and three loops (D, anti-codon, and T loops).
Source: RNAcentral
GGAGGUGUAGCUCAGUUGGCAGAGCGCAAGCCUGAAGAGCUUGGCGUCGGUGGUUCGAUUCCACCCACCUCCA